UGGUCCAGUGGUUAGGACUCGGCACUUUCAGUGCUGUGGGUCAGGGUUCAAUCCCUG
This 57-nucleotide transfer RNA is filed under the name Bos taurus (domestic cattle). It matches the Rfam family "tRNA", at positions 8 to 63 of the family's 71-position model. From Rfam's summary of the family: Transfer RNA (tRNA) molecules are approximately 80 nucleotides in length. Their secondary structure includes four short double-helical elements and three loops (D, anti-codon, and T loops). RNAcentral also lists the same sequence under 1 other name. Lineage: Eukaryota; Metazoa; Chordata; Mammalia; Artiodactyla; Bovidae. The record is from Rfam by way of RNAcentral.